GCGGUAAAAAAGCUCGUAGUUGGAUUUCUGUUGAGAGCGACCGGUCCAUACCACGUAUGCGUAUCUGGCUUGCCCUCGGCAUCCUCUCGAUAGACGUUGCUGCGCUUGAUUGCGUGGCGCGGAUCUCGGGACUUUUACUUUGAGGAAAUUAGAGUGUUCACGGCAGGCUUUCGCCAGAAUACAUUAGCAUGGAAUAGUACUAUAGGAUCUUGGUUCUAUUUUGUUGGUUUCUAGAAUUGAGAUAAUGAUUAAUAGGGACAAUUGGGGGCAUUCGUAUCAACACGUCAGAGGUGGAAUUCUUGGAUUGUGUUGCGACGAACUACUGCGAAAGCAUUUGCCAAGGAUGUUUUCAUUGAUCAAGAACGAAAGUAAGGGGAUCGAAGACGAUUAGAUACCGUCGUAGUCUUUACCAUAAACUAUGCCGACUAGAGAUGGGGCAUCGUUCAUUUACGACUUGCUCCGCACCUUAUGAGAUAUCAAAGUUUUUGGGCUCCGGGGGGAGUAUGGUCGCAAGAUUGAAACUUAAAGGAAUUGACGGAAGGGCACCACCAGGAGUGGAGCCUGCGGCUUAAUUUGACUCAACACGGGGAAACUCACCAGGUCCAGACAUAAUAAGGAUUGACAGAUUGAUAGCUC
This 636-nucleotide ribosomal RNA is filed under the name uncultured marine eukaryote. RNAcentral describes it as "SSU rRNA". It matches the Rfam family "Eukaryotic small subunit ribosomal RNA", at positions 615 to 1257 of the family's 1831-position model. The record is from RNAcentral.